Molecule: ribosomal RNA, 663 nt
Filed under: uncultured cyanobacterium
Lineage: Bacteria; Bacillati; Cyanobacteriota
Description: bacterial SSU rRNA
Rfam family: Bacterial small subunit ribosomal RNA
Source: RNAcentral
CGGACGGGUGAGUAACGCGUAAGAAUCUACCUUCAGGUUGGGGACAACCACUGGAAACGGUGGCUAAUACCGAAUGUGCCGAGAGGUGAAAGGCUUGCUGCCUGAAGAAGAGCUUGCGUCUGAUUAGCUAGUUGGUGGGGUAAGAGCCUACCAAGGCGACGAUCAGUAGCUGGUCUGAGAGGAUGAUCAGCCACACUGGGACUGAGACACGGCCCAGACUCCUACGGGAGGCAGCAGUGGGGAAUUUUCCGCAAUGGGCGAAAGCCUGACGGAGCAAUACCGCGUGAGGGAGGAAGGCUCUUGGGUUGUAAACCUCUUUUCUCAGGGAAGAAGACAAUGACGGUACCUGAGGAAUAAGCAUCGGCUAACUCCGUGCCAGCAGCCGCGGUAAUACGGAGGAUGCAAGCGUUAUCCGGAAUGAUUGGGCGUAAAGGGUCUGCAGGUGGCAUUGUAAGUCUGCUGUUAAAGAGUCACGCUCAACGUGAUAAAAGCAGUGGAAACUACAAAGCUAGAGUACGUUCGGGGCAGAGGGAAUUCCUGGUGUAGCGGUGAAAUGCGUAGAUAUCAGGAAGAACACCGGUGGCGAAGGCGCUCUACUGGGCCAUAACUGACACUGAUGGACGAAAGCUAGGGGAGCGAAAGGGAUUAGAUACCCCUGUAGUC